This 253-nucleotide ribosomal RNA is filed under the name uncultured bacterium. RNAcentral's name for it is "partial 16S ribosomal RNA". It matches the Rfam family "Bacterial small subunit ribosomal RNA", at positions 524 to 776 of the family's 1533-position model. The record is from RNAcentral.
UACGAAGGGGGCUAGCGUUGCUCGGAAUCACUGGGCGUAAAGGGUGCGUAGGCGGGUCUUUAAGUCAGGGGUGAAAUCCUGGAGCUCAACUCCAGAACUGCCUUCGAUACUGAAGAUCUUGAGUUCGGGAGAGGUGAGUGGAACUGCGAGUGUAGAGGUGAAAUUCGUAGAUAUUCGCAAGAACACCAGUGGCGAAGGCGGCUCACUGGCCCGAUACUGACGCUGAUGCACGAAAGCGUGGGGAGCAAACAGG